RNA transcript from Pecten maximus, 4771 nucleotides. It is a transcript of the gene named tumor necrosis factor receptor superfamily member 5-like, with no coding region annotated. The record is from RefSeq and is a predicted model, not a curated record. Lineage: Eukaryota; Metazoa; Mollusca; Bivalvia; Pectinida; Pectinidae. The transcript is spliced from 7 exons.
CACUCGUAACGGUGCACUUGUAUUCAUGUCACGCUCAUAUGACAUUCCUACAUACCUACACAUGUUUUGGAGGUACGGAUAUCAUAACAGGAACGUGAUCAUCGUGAGUGGAGAGGUACUACAUUAAACCAGGAAAUGAAAAGCCGUCUUCUACAGAUCUUGAUUCUACUGCUGUCGUGUGUUCGUUUGUGUUCCAAAACAACACAGCCUGAUAUAACAUACACACACAAUGGGAGGACGUGUGUCAAAUGUCCUCCGGGGACUUACCUGAUUAGCCACUGUGACAAAGAAAACGAAGUAGGUGAAUGCCGAUUGUGUCCAAACGGAACAUAUAGCUCUCAAUACGACAUCGCUACAUCGUGUGCACCGUGUAAAGAGUUUUGUGAAAACAAAGACCUAGUGGAGGUUAAAAAGUGCACAAAACUGACGGACAUGGAGUGUGCUUGUCCAAAUGGAACAUUCAAUGUUAAUGCACAUCUUCCCUUGAGCCAUGCCAAGUGUAUACCUCAUGGUUUCUGUGGUCCAGGGUACGGAGUGAAAGUCCAGGCAACAUCAGUUAAAAACACGAUAUGUGAGAGGUGUGAGAUUGGAAAGACGUAUUCCUUAACCACCUCGGCGUCAGACAGAUGUCAGCCAUGUACAAAUUGUGGACAGUUUGAUGUCAUUUCAGAAUGCAACACAACACACAACCGUAUUUGUGACAUAGAACCCAAGAACAUCCCAUACCAACGCUGCGACACAGAUGAAUACACCCUCACAGAUGUUAUGACUGGAGGAAUAAUUGGAGCAGCUAUUGGAGCUAUAAUAGUAAUUGGAAUAAUGUUAUUACUCUUUUACGAAAAGCUACCCUGCUUUAAGUCAGAAACUCAACAACAAAGUCCAAGUGUUCCUACCAUAAGUGAUGGGUUCGUUGAGGAGAUUAAUAACGGCAACAACAAGGGCAUUGUUAAGGAACAAAUCAAGUAAUGUCAUCAUGGAGUGGACGUCAGGCUAAUGUCAUCAUGGAGUGGACGUCAGGCUAAUGUCAUCAUGGAGUGGACGUCAGGGAGCAUCACCAAGAGUACUGAGGAAUGUUUGGCGUACGGGGAAUUGUGAUGUAAUCCUACAAGUGUAACGAGGACAAUAUCCACAAGUUUAAAGAACAAAGCAAAAUUUCAAACGAGAGGAUCUAUAGUAUGUUUUGGUAGUUUGAUUACAGGUAUGAUAUCUGGAUUACAGGUAUAAUAUCUGGAUUACAGGUAUGAUAUCUGGAUUACAGGUAUGAUAUCUGGAUUACAUGUAUACUAUCUGGAUUACAGGUAUGAUAUCUGGAUUACAGGUAUGAUAUCUGGAUUACAGGUAUAAUAUCUGGAUUACAGGUAUGAUAUCUAGAUUACAGGUAUGAAAUCUGGAUUACAGGUAUGAUAUCUGGAUUACAGGUAUGCUAUCUGGAGAACAGGUAUGCUAUCUGGAGAACAGGUAUAAUAUCUAGAUUACAGGUAUGAUAUCUGGAUUACAGGUAUAAUAUCUGGAUUACAGGUAUAACAUCUGGAUUACAGGUAUAAUAUCUUGAUUACAGGUAUGAUAUCUAGAUUACAGGUAUGAUAUCUGGAUUACAGGUAUGAUAUCUGGAUUACAGGUAUAAUAGCUUGAAUACAGGUAUGAUAUCUGGAUUACAGGUAUGAUAUCUGGAUUACAGGUAUGAUAUCUGGAGAACAGGUAUAAUAUUUGGAGUACAGGUAUAAUAUCUGGAUUACAGGUAUAAUAUCUUGAAUACAUGUAUGAUAUCUUGAAUACAUGUAUGAUAUUUUGAUUACAAGUAUGAUAUUGUGAUAAGAUGAAGUCAAGAGUAAGAGUGGAUUGAAUCAGACACGUGUUUCCGGGGAGCAAGAAUCACACAUUUGUACAUUUGUAAUAGGCAAGUUUUCUUGUGCAAUAGUUUCCUGUUUUUAGAAUAUGAGGGAAGGUAUUUUGGAGUUUGGGGUCGUAGUCGUGUGUAUUUGGAAAUAGUAUAAAUCAAUUUUGUUGGUCAAAGUUCAAUUAUUCCAUCAACAGAAAUGUUGCAAAUUGUGUACACAACAUUGACCAGCAAGACUCCAGCAGAGCGAUAAGCUACUCCAAUAAUCCAGUGACGCUCCACAGUAUUUCAGUUGUUUUAGGGAUAUUUCUUACAUUACUUCUGUUGAUGAAGCUCGGGUAGGAAUACGUCUCUGUAUUACCCCUUGGGAUAACAGAGGAUGUUUCCUGAUUUCUCAAUGUGGCUAUAUUGUCUUAAAUGUAUCGACAUGUGAAUCUAUGUACUAAAUGUGGGGAGAUUAAUCGAGAUUUGGAGAAAUUCUAAGAGGGAAAAACUUUGAUUGCCUUUAUUAUUUUGGGGGAGUCUACGUGUAUUAGGCCAUUAGAUUCAUUUGGAUGGGUUGACGAAUUUCAUUUGUAGGAGGGGUAACUGGAUAGAAAAUGUUUUAGGGAAUUUAUUAUUCAUCACUUUUUGAGGUUGUACUUUAAUCAAUAAUGUUGGGUAAUUGUUUUGUAUAUUUUUAAAGGCUAGAGCUUAUCUCGGCUAGGGUCAGAUACGAUUAUAUGAACAUUGAAUGUGUAUUGAGUAUGUGUCCACAUCUUUCAUUGUAAAUAUUCAUUAAUAGUUAAUUAUUGCUGCGAAUGGGGUGGGAGAGUUGUAGAGAAUAUGUAUCUAGAAUAAAUGUAUGACUAUAUAAUUGUUGUGGAGUUUACAAAAUAAAUUGUUCACCUUGAAGAAACUUGGUUAUAUGUGAGCAGAGACCAAGGCCAUGGGGAUAGUAAUAGCAGAGCCUGAGUAUUCUCGAACCCCAAUAGUAAUAGCAGAGCCUGAGUAUUCUCUCACCCCAAUAGUAAUAGCAGAGCCUGAGUAUUCUCUCACCCCAAUAGUAAUAGCAGAGCCUGAGUAUUCUCUCACCCCAAUAGUAAUAGCAGAGCCUGAGUAUUCUCUCACCCCAAUAGUAAUAGCAGAGCCUGAGUAUUCUCUCACCCCAAUAGUAAUAGCAGAGCCUGAGUAUUCUCUCACCCCAAAGUUGUAUUGGUAAGAUCACUAACGGUCUAAGUGCAGACAACUCUAUUGGAUUUUGAUUAUCUCCCUUUGGUAAACUGACAAAGACAACAAAUCAACAAAACGAGUGCAUAGAUAUUCAUACAGUAGAUGUUGCAGCUGGAACCCGUGAAAGGACUACGACAAAAAUGCAUAAUAUAUUUGCAUCGGUUAGAAUUACUAGACCAUUAGUGAAGUUUUUAGGGAUUUGGUAUCCAUCCAAUUUAUACCAACCAUGUAGUAGUCAGUCAUACUACCGUGAUUAUUUGUAGAAGAACCUAACCACACUGCCUGCUUCAAUGUUCUAAUUACGGAUAUUUUGCAUUAAAUAAUGGAAGAAAUUAUGACUUAUAGCUGUUCUGAUCUCAUUUAGUACAUCCUUCCCCUGUUUGACGAGGGGGGCCUCUUCUUAUCUCAUUUAGUACAUCCUUCGCCUGUUUGAUGAGGGGGGCCUCUCCUGAUCUCAUUUAGUACAUCCUUCGCCUGUUUGAUGAGGGGGGCCUCUCCUGAUCUCAUUUAGUACAUCUUUCGCCUGUUUGAUGAGGGGGGCCUCUCCUGAUCUCAUUUAGUACAUCCUUCGCCUGUUUGAUGAGGGGGGCCUCUCCUGAUCUCAUUUAGUACAUCCUUCGCCUGUUUGACGAGGGGGACCUCUUCUUAUCUCAUUUAGUACAUCCUUCGCCUGUUUGAUGAGAGGUAACUCUUUCGAUCUCAAUUAGUACUGUAACAGAGUCGAAAACGUGUCUAUUUGAUAGCACUUUAUAGGAUAUUUUCUAUUUUUAUUGUCUCACUGUUGUGCCUUACCAGCCUUAAUAAGUGUAUAGUAUUUACGAGCAGCCAGGAUAAAUUGUGUGUUAUAAUCCUCUAUGUUUUAAAAGUUAAAAGUUGUUUUUAUAUAUGAAAGUUGUAUAAAUGCUAGAAUAUGGCUCUGUCAUAUAGGCCAAGUUUGUAAAGUUUAUAAAGUUAAAAGUGUUUUUUUACAUAGGAACUAUAGUUUGUAAACUCGGUGGUGCUGAUCAGCUGAUUGUGUCCAAGAGUAUGUUGUUUUCUGAUUGUAAAUAUUAUUUAUUACCGCCAGAGAGUGUUGAGAUUAGUGAAAAUGAUGUUUGAGCGACACGUUGAUCAAGUUUCAGCUUGCUAAAUAUUUUUUUAUAAGUAUUUUUGUGUAUCCUAGGGGUGUUGACCUAAAGAUAGGGUCGCCGCCAUCUUUGUUUACAUUGGCAACACACAGCCAAGGGUGUGUCUGAUUUCCGAACAAGUGUAUGAUUUAUGAGCCAAAUCAUUUUAAAUUUAAAUAUCUUGUCAGAAACCUUAUCCAUCCAUACUUUCAUUAGUAAACGGGCUAAUCACGCUAUAUAGGGCGAUUGUUUGUGCAGCGUCCAUCUGCUUCCCCCGAGCAACUGUUGUAAAUGGCAGAACAGUGAACUGACGACAAACGCAGUUAUUUCACGAAUUCGACAUUUUGGAAAGCUAAAUUUUAGUUAGAAAAGGUUUGUUUGCAUUGCUAUGAUACGCUUAAUAAUGUUUAUGACAAUAUUUUAUUACGUACUUAUUUGGUAGAACUAUUGUUAUGUAUAUGGUGACAGUCUUACUGGUCUGUGAGAUAUCUUAUAAGUGUACAAUCUAGGGGAGAUAAUCUAACUCCAUAUGUAUAUGAGUUAUUCCCCUUUGUUGUAAUUCGUUUCGUUUGUAAGAUACAUUUUGAUUAUUCAUAUAAAGACUUGGAACUGGAAA